Molecule: long non-coding RNA, 1477 nt
Organism: Varanus komodoensis (Komodo dragon)
Lineage: Eukaryota; Metazoa; Chordata; Lepidosauria; Squamata; Varanidae
Exons: 3
Source: RefSeq, a predicted model, not a curated record
CUGUUCCCUUAUCAUAUGAUGGAGGGCUGUGCCAAGUUCCCCAUUUGGGGGAAUGUUCAGAUGCCAAUAGCUUACAGAACAGAAGAAGCAAAAUGACCACGCACAGCCCAACAAUGUGCAGUAAUUUUCAAUAGCAGAACAAAAAGAUGCCUAGAUGUCUGCUAUGCUGCAUUUUGUAAAAACAAAGCUGAUGAUGGGGAAGGACAAGAAAGUCUCAAAAUUUUUCAAGCUGAUGAAUAAAAUCAUAAAAGUUCAGCACCAGCACAAGAAUCCAGAAACAAGAACCUGUUCCCUGAGAUUGGUCACUGAAACCCAAGAAUCACCUGAUCUGACUGCUGACCCUGAAGGAGGCAUCCACAGUUAUUCAAAAUAAAAAAUCCCAGAUCCUGGACUCCACAGGGAAGAAUAUGUCAGAAGACAGAGUGUGAAACUGCAAUUAUGAUGAUUGAACUGCCCGAGGACAAUCCCUGUAUGAACUGGCUACAUUCCACUGUUGCCAAACACUGUACAGUCUGUUCAUGUUUUAAAGUGUUUGUUUUGCCCUGGGUAUUGAUAGUUUCUUAUGUCAGGGACAAACACCUCUAGGAUGCAGUAUGUACAUCUGAUAAGGUUGGGUCUUCGAAUACAGAAAAUCAUACCUCUUUAAUACCUAUCAGAACCAGGAUUUAUGAGCCUCAGGGCAUCCUGAAACCUAUUUGCAAGGUAUCUGGUAGCAUGUCCACACAUGGGAUGGGUGAAUUGAUUUGUUUCAAGAACAGUCACUGAGUAUAAUACACACAAGGGAAAGAGCCAUGCUGGCACAUGAAACCCCACACCAAAUUUCUCAAGCAUUCAUUCUCACGCCUCAAGUACAGCACUAAAUUACUAAACCAGGAGUGUGAGAAGCUCUACAUACAGGGAUAUCUUUGGAAUCUGCAUAUCACAUGGUUUCCAAAUAAUUCCUAUAGAUGUGGGGAAUCUCACAUAGCAUUCGUUUUUUAAAGGCAAACUAGAAUAUGAGCUAGAAAUUAUAUCAAUGUCUGAGCCAGGGCUGGCCCAAGACACUUUGAAACCUGAGGCAAAGGACAAGAUGAUGCCCCGUCCCAAAGCAGGGCAGAGAAGCUGAUGAAACUGACAGUCAAAUCUUGCUUCAGCUCCGGAGAUGGGAUGGCAUCUUCUACUUCACAUAAGGCAGCAGGUUAGCUUAGGGACCCCAGGACAGGUCGUGUGGUCUAGGUAGCUGUAUCCUCCCACAGAGAGGAACAGCUGGGGAAUCCAUGAGAAGUAGACUAGAGCUGAGACCACUGCUUCCCCCAGUUCCAUGAUCUGCUACUUGAGGCAGCUGGCUCACAGUCUUAUUGGUAGAGCUGAUCCUAGAGUGGGGGAAACAUUAUACAUGUCUGUGCUGUUUUGUGAAAAUCUUCUGCAUCUGAGUCUCUUUUCAUAGUUGCAGUUGUCAAAAUCACACAGGGGUUUCUCAUAGCUAUCUAUGAGAAGA